Long non-coding RNA from Mastomys coucha (southern multimammate mouse), 152 nucleotides. RefSeq lists it as uncharacterized. The transcript is spliced from 3 exons. NCBI's taxonomy places the organism in Eukaryota, Metazoa, Chordata, Mammalia, Rodentia, Muridae. The record is from RefSeq and is a predicted model, not a curated record.
CACAGUUCCUCAGAACUCAGAGAGGGCUCUCCGCCUGGGGAAAUAAAGUACAGACUGAAAAACAUAUCUGGAACUCGGAUGAACACUACCCUGAUUACUGCCAAAGCAAACACUGUCUUUGGCUGACCCAUUUGCAUACUCACCAGCAACAG